AUGAACAUUGCCCUCCUGACUAGGUGGCUGUGGCGGAUUACGAACGGUGAGGGUGGCCUAUGGCUUCGCAUCAUCCAGCAGAAAUACCUUCGGGGCCAACCGCUCGCCUUCUGCCAGCGGUCCGGUGGUUCCCAGUUCUGGCAAUCCAUCAUAUAGCUCCUCCCAGUCCUCCGCAUUGGAUCUUCGAUUGCGGUUGGGUCUGGCACUGCCAUGCUAUUUUGGUUCAAUCGCUGGGAUGGGGACACCCCCUUCGCGGCUCAUUUUCCUGACCCGUUCUCCAUCGCGGUUGACCUGCGGAUUUCUGUUGCAAUGGCCCUUAUUGACUUAGGACAACUCGCGUUCCAACGACAAUUUGGACCGGCAGAGAAUGCGGCUUGGCAUGACUUGCUCAACUGCAUUGCGUUGCAUGAGCUUGAGCUAGAGACGGGAGAUGACCGCACUAGGUGGCAGCUGGAGCCGUCUGGUCUAUUCUCUACUAAAUCACUCUGCCAGGCGAUCGCCCCCUCACUGGGUCCUGAGGCUCUUACCACCAUCUUGGAGAUCCGGCUCCCCUUGAAAUUAGGAUUUUCUUGUGGCAAUGGAUCCACGGCCGCUUCCCUUCCAUAG
This 606-nucleotide ribosomal RNA is filed under the name Triticum aestivum (bread wheat). RNAcentral describes it as "partial small subunit ribosomal RNA". Lineage: Eukaryota; Viridiplantae; Streptophyta; Magnoliopsida; Poales; Poaceae. The record is from RNAcentral.